UGGGGAAUAUUGGACAAUGGGGGGAACCCUGAUCCAGCGAUGCCGCGUGUGUGAAGAAGGCCUGCGGGUUGUAAAGCACUUUCAGUUGGGAAGAUAGUUUGUGGGUGAAUAGCCUGCAAAUGAGACGUUACUAACAAAAGAAGCACCGGCUAACUCUGUGCCAGCAGCCGCGGUAAUACAGAGGGUGCGAGCGUUAAUCGGAAUGACUGGGCGUAAAGGGCAUGUAGGCGGUUAUGUUAGUCUGAUGUGAAAUACCCGGGCUUAACCUGGGAUAUGCGUUGGAAACGGCAUAGCUAGAGUAUGGGAGAGGGAAGUGGAAUUUCCGGUGUAGCGGUGAAAUGCGUAGAGAUCGGAAAGAACACUCGUGGCGAAGGCGGCUUUCUGGCCCAUAACUGACGCUGAGGUGCGAAAGCAUGGGGAGCAAACAG
RNAcentral lists this ribosomal RNA (428 nucleotides) under uncultured bacterium. RNAcentral describes it as "bacterial SSU rRNA". It matches the Rfam family "Bacterial small subunit ribosomal RNA", at positions 355 to 775 of the family's 1533-position model. The record is from RNAcentral.